Molecule: ribosomal RNA, 245 nt
Filed under: uncultured bacterium
Lineage: Bacteria
Description: partial 16S ribosomal RNA
Rfam family: Bacterial small subunit ribosomal RNA
Source: RNAcentral
UACGUAGGAUGCAAGCGUUGUCCGGAAUUACUGGGCGUAAAGCGCGCGUAGGCGGCGCGCUGCGUCGGCGGUGAAAGCUCCCGGCUCACCUGGGAGAGGGCCGCCGAAACGAGCGUGCUGGAGGGCGGUAGGGGCUGGCGGAACGCCCGGAGUAGCGGUGAAAUGCGUUGAGAUCGGGCAGAACACCAGUGGCGAAGGCGGCCAGCUAGGCCGACCCUGACGCUGAGGCGCGAAAGCCAGGGGAG